CUCUAUUUAUAGAUGAUUUUUAUGACCCAAUAAGUAUAGGACUCUAAAUUCAAACAUGCUUUGAAUCAGUCCAAUACACAUGAAAGAAGGACUCCAACAUGAGAUAGAAUUGGAACCACAUAAGGCGCCCACAAUGCACCCAUUCCCUCACCCAUAUAGGAUGCCCCAACCAGCACCAUACCAGGUGCUAGUCAGCCCA
RNAcentral lists this long non-coding RNA (199 nucleotides) under Elaeis guineensis (African oil palm). RNAcentral's name for it is "long non-coding RNA (EGUI_LNC079985)". Lineage: Eukaryota; Viridiplantae; Streptophyta; Magnoliopsida; Arecales; Arecaceae. The record is from RNAcentral.